This is a long non-coding RNA of Mesocricetus auratus (golden hamster), 3630 nucleotides long. RefSeq lists it as uncharacterized. The transcript is spliced from 3 exons. NCBI's taxonomy places the organism in Eukaryota, Metazoa, Chordata, Mammalia, Rodentia, Cricetidae. The record is from RefSeq and is a predicted model, not a curated record.
CCUCUCAGCACACAUCCUGCAGCAGGAGGAAGAGGCUCAAGGUCGUGAUGCUUGUCAAUGUUAGAAUGAGCUUCCCACUGUGAUGCCAAGCUCAUGCCUCUCCCAUUUCACUUUGUAGCUCCGUUCUUCAGAGUCUGGCUGGACCUUGCACAGAAGCCCUCCGUACCUCUCCAGGGUUGAGACUGGUCCUUGGAUGUCCUCAGCCUUAGAAUUGGAAGCCAAAGGGGAAUACAAUCCACAUCUCCGACCACCUGAGCAGCACAUUUCUUCACCAGGCCCACAAGAUCAGGGUUCUGAGUGUGUCUGGAAGCCUGAAGGGUAAAGAUGAAGAAAAAUGCUACCAUAAAGGACAACAAAAGAGAAACUGAAACUAGGUGUUCUCGCAAUAGCAACAAAGACAUCUUCCUCCCACUUACUGCUCAAUUGAUGCUAGAAAUACCGUGGGUAGAGAUUCAUCCUGUUCACUUAAAACACCUCAUCCUCCUAAACCGCAAAGCUCAAGGAGAAGAGCAGAGGAGGGCUUUGCUGAACCCCACACAUCUUUAGGACUGGAGUCAAGGUGGUUGAGGGAGGCUGCAGGAUUGUGAUGAUCUGGAAUCCGAGGAACAGGAACUCUGCUGAGGAGCAUGCAGCUGAUACAUCAGGCCUGCUGUGGUUGCUGGAACUUGCAUAAUGUUGAAUUUUGCCUUCUAGAUUUGUUCCUCUGACCUCAUCUUCAGGACAUUCUCAGUGCCUUCCCUAUUUGCUUUGAUGAAUCGAGCUGAGACAUUGUAUCUUUCCCCAUCCGUGUUCCUGGGUGAUGAUUCACAUCGUUGUUAGUGACAGAUACUUUCAAAAGGGCUUGGAUAUUCUUCUAUGUGGGAGACACAUUCUAAUGGGCAAUUAGACUUUGACCCUCCCCUCAUUUUCAGAGUUGAGUAGAGGAGGUAACUGUCAACAACAGACAGUGAUUCUCUUAGCUAGUUAAUAUCAAAUUCCCAGGUACCCUCCCAGGCACUGCAUGUGAUUUUACCCGUGGUGGGAAGGAUAAGGCUCUGGGAAAUAAUUGCUGACUAGGUGGAUAGAAGUCAUGGGCAUUCACCCGGCAUGCGGUACAUCCAUUUAAGAUUGUGUGCAAGGAGCCUAGAAAACCUGACUGUUGGACCUCUAGGACUCUGAUAUGCCUGGAGACGAGCUAAGAGGCCACCAGAGGAGCCUGAACCCCAGAAGCCAUCACCACUGUGGCAGAAGUCACUAGAGAUUGACAUCCACCUGGAUUUAAAACUCUAUGAAAUGAGUUGACAACAAAAACCAAGUGACCACAAAAACCAGCUGCCCUGAACUUUAGAUGGACACCCCAAACCAACUGCCACAGCUUUGGAUUGCUCAGCUAUAAAACAGGAUAACGAUAGUCCCAUUUACCCUUCACUGCCUUUAAGGAUCUCAAACAGCUCUGAGAUUGUUGUGUAUCAGCCCCCAAGAAACAAAUCUAAAUGUGCCCAGAAUACGAGUAGGCAGGCACAUUGCCUUGCUAACUGGGGAAAGAUGUAGGGUAAGAGGAUGGUGAGGCCAGUGACAAACUGAAGCACACAUUUCAUGCAAUUUGGAUUCUACAAAGCAACAUUGGGCCAUAUGAAACCUCUGUGGGCAAAGCUUGCCUUUGCCUGUGAAUUUUCCAUUCCUGGAUGCUGUAGAAUAGGGAGGUCUACCAGCCUAUGGAGUGAAUAUAGGAGGACAAGUCUUUUCAUUGGUGCCUGUAGCAGAAAGCUCCUAGGAUGUGGUGCUUGGGGAGGCUUCUCCUUCAGAUGUUUUCUUGUGGACACUAGGAACUGAAAUCCUAAUUUCAAGGAAUAUAGGGCUGAGUAUGGGGGAGAAGGGUUAGACAGUGAGUUUUAUAAGAUUAAUGGUUUUCACUAAGACGUAAAUACAUUAUCUACAAUGGAAAACCUAUUGAUUCUCUUUUGGCCAUUGGUGCCUAAGUACUUUAAGACAGGAAUAAAAAUCUGGUGUACUCCUUAACUUUGAUAUUGCCACAUGACUUGCAUGGAGUCUCAGGCACCUGACUAGGGACUGACUGGCAUUUCAGACAGUACAUCUAGGGCCCUGCCCUCAAGACACUUGAAACCUAGUGAGGGAAUGUAAGGGCAGGAUGGGGCCCAUUUGCUCACCUCCUUAUAUUCAGGUGCCUACAGUACAUGGGAAACAAAAACGGGUGGAAAGAACACAUCCCUCUUCAAUGCAGAAAUGCUGAAAGCGAAGGUUAGCAGGGAUCCUGAGCUUACUAGAAUAGUCUAGAAGAGGAUGGACUGCUGGUGGGUAAGCUAAGGAUGGGGAUUGAUGAGGAACAAAAGGGGUUGUUAGGGAUCCUUUGCUCCCUCCCGCAGGUCUGGGAGACUUGAGGUGUUGAGCACCCAGCUUGUCCAAGCAUCAGGAAGGCUGACAAAGGGCUAGAAUUCACAGAAUCAGGGGAUGCCUGGAAGGUGGCAGGAUAUGUCUUAGGACCCCUUAGGGCUCUUAGGAACCAACUGAGAAAACUUGGCUUAUCUGCCAGCAGGCUCUCAUCUGCAGUGGGAUGGGAGGGUGAGGGAUUGCUCCUCCGUCUUUCUAGGCUGAUGGAAAGCAGGUGUUCCAAAGAACUGAGUUCUGUGAUGUCUGCCGCCACUGGCCUCGUGAAAACCUUCCCUGGGUGUGAGUCUCAGACCAUUUCCCGAGGUUCAUAUUCCAAUUCUUGACCUGGCAUCUGCUGAAGCGAGUUAUUUCAUUAUCAGUGAUAAUCUUAAUAACCGCAGGAUUUUCUCUUGGUAGAUUUACCCCCAGCAUCGGCACUGUUAAUUGCAACUCUUAUCAAUAGCUACUGGAGCAAGCUGCUUUGCAAUGAAAACAAAGCUUCAAGGCUGGGCUCACAGCAAGGUCAGAAUGUCCCCUGAGAGUCUGGAGGCAAGGAUUUCAGCUUGUGAACAGACUUAGUGUUUUUUUUUUCUUGGUUCCCACAGGCUCUCCUUCCUUAUUUCAGCUUCACCUGCCAUGCCAAUACUCAGUACAUGGGGCCCGGUUUUGCAGACACUGAGCAUGCCCAGUGACUCCACACCUGCAACUGCUGAGUCCUGCUGCUUCUCCCAUAAGCAUGCUGGCUUACUUAGGUAUGCUAACUUUAAAAAGUGGGGGAUAACCAGAGCCGACCCUGGAGUUGCUGUGAGGAACUGUGGGCUGGUUGAAAGGACAUAGGUCUGGGGGCAUGCAGCAAUUGCUUUAAUUUCUUGUCUUCCAUUUACCACAGUACUCUGUGGCCUUGAGUUCUAACAGCCUUUUAGGAGUCUUAACUGUACACUGCAUUUAAUCAUACUGAAUCAUACUGACUUCCACUUGGUACAGGGACACCAGCCUUCAUUUCAAUUGCUUGAAAGUAGGAUGGUCCAUGGAAAUUAUUUUUUUUAUCAGAACAACAUAGAUAUAUUUAUUACUUACAAUAUACAGGAACUGAACAUGUUUUCUCUUCUCCUUUUCCGUUUUAAUUUUAAAUUAGAAACAAGCUUGUUUCACAUGCUGAUCUCAGUUCCCUCACCCUCUCCUCCUCCCCUGCCCCCACCGACCCCCUAUCCCAUCCCGUUUCUGUUCCCAGGGAGAAUGAGCCCUCCAUGGGGGAUCUUCAAA